RNAcentral lists this unclassified non-coding RNA (784 nucleotides) under uncultured bacterium. Its description in RNAcentral is "partial contains 16S ribosomal RNA, 16S-23S ribosomal RNA intergenic spacer, and 23S ribosomal RNA". The stretch from base 652 to 784 matches the Rfam family "Bacterial large subunit ribosomal RNA", at positions 1 to 131 of the family's 2925-position model. The record is from RNAcentral.
CCGCCGCCUUCGUUUCUCUUUCUUCGUUUGGACGUCCGCCGCGUUUACCGGGCCUGUAGCUCAGUUGGUUAGAGCGCGCGCUUGAUAAGCGUGAGGUCGAAAGUUCAAAUCUUUCCAGGCCCACCACUUCCAAGGUGGUCGGGUGUUCUGCCAAGAGCAUCGCCUGGAAGGGUGGUCGAGCCGCACCUGCUGACGGCACGUGGUGUCUGUAAGGGGCCAUAGCUCAGUUGGGAGAGCGCCUGCUUUGCAAGCAGGAGGUCGUCGGUUCGAUCCCGUCUGGCUCCACCAGACGAUCGCCAGGCCCAGAGACGUCCAAAAUCGAAGAGUACGAAAUUCCGUCACACACUGUGUGGCGGCAUGCUUGACAUCGUAAAGAAGGGAUACGCCCGAGACGCUGAACAGCUCUACCUAUUCUGUUCAGGUCGUCCGCAGGCAUCAUGCCGCGAGGGCCUGGCGCAAGCUAGGCAUGAGGCAUCGGUGCUGUUUGGAUCGGAGCUAGCUUAACCGCAGGCUCCAUGAUUGGGUUUAUCUCGAUGCAACUGGUCUUUCUAUGGCGGUGUUCACCGUGCCGAGAAGGAGCAGGAAGGACGUCGCGCCUCCAAAGCGCGAUGGUUCGUCCGGCUUUCUCAGGUGGGCAUUGCUAAUGAGAGCGAUCAAGUGUCUUAAGGGCAUUCCGGAGGAUGCCUUGGCGGCAAGAGGCGAUGAAGGACGUGGUACGCUGCGAUAAGCUACGGUUAGCUGCGAACAGGCUUUGACCCGUAGAUUUCCGAAUGGGGAAACCCGG